UACGGGGGGAGCAAGCGUUGUUCGGAUUUACUGGGCGUAAAGGGCGCGCAGGCGGCGCUUCAAGUCCGUUGUGAAAUUUCAGGGCUUAACCCUGACGGGUCAACGGAAACUGAAGGGCUAGAGUGCAGCAGAGGAAAGCGGAAUUCCCGGUGUAGUGGUGAAAUGCGUAGAUAUCGGGAGGAACACCAGAGGCGAAAGCGGCUUUCUGGGCUGUAACUGACGCUGAGGCGCGAAGGCUAGGGGAGCAAACAGG
This 253-nucleotide ribosomal RNA is filed under the name uncultured bacterium. Its description in RNAcentral is "partial 16S ribosomal RNA". It matches the Rfam family "Bacterial small subunit ribosomal RNA", at positions 524 to 776 of the family's 1533-position model. The record is from RNAcentral.